This 254-nucleotide ribosomal RNA is filed under the name uncultured bacterium. Its description in RNAcentral is "partial 16S ribosomal RNA". It matches the Rfam family "Bacterial small subunit ribosomal RNA", at positions 524 to 776 of the family's 1533-position model. The record is from RNAcentral.
UACGUAGGGGGCAAGCGUUGUCCGGAUUUAUUGGGCGUAAAGAGCGUGUAGGCGGCCUGAAAGGUCAGCUGUGAAAACUCGAGGCUUAACCUCGAGACGUCGGUUGAAACCAUCUGGCUAGAGUCCGGAAGAGGACGAGUGGAAUUCCCGGUGUAGCGGUGAAAUGCGCAGAUAUCGGGAGGAACACCAAUGGCGAAGGCAGCUCGCUGGGACGUGACUGACGCUGAGACGCGAAAGCGUGGGGAGCAAACAGG